Molecule: ribosomal RNA, 393 nt
Filed under: uncultured microorganism
Description: bacterial SSU rRNA
Rfam family: Archaeal small subunit ribosomal RNA
Source: RNAcentral
GCGCAGCAGUCGAGAAACCUCCGCAAUGCGGGAAACCGCGACGGGGUCAGCCGGAGUGCUCGCGCAUCGCGCGGGCUGUCGGGGUGCCUAAAAAGCACCCCAUAGCAAGGGCCGGGCAAGGCCGGUGGCAGCCGCCGCGGUAAUACCGGGCGGCCCGAGUGGCGGCCACUUUUAUUGGGCCUAAAGCGUCCGUAGCCGGGCUGGUAAGUCCUCCGGGAAAUCUGGCGGCUUAACCGUCAGACUGCCGGAGGAUACUGCCAGCCCUAGGGGACCGGGAGAGGCCGGGGGUAUUCCCGGGGUAGGGGUGAAAUCCUGUAAUCCCGGGAGGACCACCUGUGGCGAAGGCGCCCGGCUGGAACGGGUCCGACGGUGAGGGACGAAGGCCAGGGGAGC